AGAUUGAACGCUGGCGGCAGGCCUAACACAUGCAAGUCGAGCGGCAGCACGGGGUACUUGUACCUGGUGGCGAGCGGCGGACGGGUGAGUAAUGCCUAGGAAUCUGCCUGGGUAGUGGGGGAUAACGCUCGGAAACGGACGCUAAUACCGCAUACGUCCUACGGGAGAAAGCGAGGGGACCUUCGGGCCUUGCGCUAUCAGAUGAGCCUAGGUCGAUUAGCUAGUUGGUGGGGUAAUGGCUCACCAAGGCGACGAUCCGUAACUGGUCUGAGAGGAUGAUCAGUCACACUGGAACUGAGACACGGUCCAGACUCCUACGGGAGGCAGCAGUGGGGAAUAUUGGACAAGUGGGCGAAAGCCUAGAUCCAGCCAUGCCGCGUGUGUGAAGAAGGUCUUCGGAUUGAAGCACGUUUAAGUUGGAGAAGGCAGUUACCAAUACGUAUCUGUUUUCGAACGUUUACCGAACAAGAAUAAGCCAACCGGUCUAAACUCUGUGCCAGCCAACG
This 506-nucleotide ribosomal RNA is filed under the name uncultured soil bacterium. RNAcentral's name for it is "bacterial SSU rRNA". It matches the Rfam family "Bacterial small subunit ribosomal RNA", at positions 26 to 517 of the family's 1533-position model. The record is from RNAcentral.